RNAcentral lists this ribosomal RNA (253 nucleotides) under uncultured prokaryote. RNAcentral describes it as "partial 16S ribosomal RNA". It matches the Rfam family "Bacterial small subunit ribosomal RNA", at positions 524 to 776 of the family's 1533-position model. The record is from RNAcentral.
UACGGAGGAUGCAAGCGUUAUCCGGAAUGAUUGGGCGUAAAGCGUUCGUAGGUGGUUCUUCAAGUCUGCUGUUAAAGCGCAGGGCUUAACUCUGUACAGGCGGUGGAAACUGAAGAGCUAGAGUGCGGUAGGGGUAGAGGGAAUUCCCGGUGUAGCGGUGAAAUGCGUAGAGAUCGGGAAGAACACCAGCAGCGAAAGCGCUCUACUGGGCCUGCACUGACACUGAGGGACGAAAGCUAGGGGAGCGAAUGGG